ACUAUUUUGGCAGAAAAAUGUGAUGAUUUUAGAAAUCAUAAAUAUAUAAUUUAUUAUAUAUAUAGUA
Molecule: transfer RNA, 67 nt
Filed under: Epermenia illigerella
Lineage: Eukaryota; Metazoa; Arthropoda; Insecta; Lepidoptera; Epermeniidae
Description: tRNA-Leu
Source: RNAcentral